Molecule: long non-coding RNA, 256 nt
Organism: Dioscorea cayenensis subsp. rotundata (Guinea yam)
Lineage: Eukaryota; Viridiplantae; Streptophyta; Magnoliopsida; Dioscoreales; Dioscoreaceae
Exons: 2
Source: RefSeq, a predicted model, not a curated record
UUCUGUUCCGACUUCACUGUCGAUGAUCCAGCCUCGUGCUGUUGAUUUCUAUUAUCAGUCAGGGAGAUGCGAGAAGACUAAGCCUAUGAUUAGGGGUUAGCUUGGAGUCGUUUUUCAGUCUUUGGUCGUAGACCUUGUAGUGGAACUUUCCUGUGUGACUGAGACUUGUAUUAUGUCUGUAUUUCUUCGUUCGCAUACUGUAUCUGUGGAACUGUUUUCUGUUGGGCUGCUAAAACUCAUAUUUGUGUUAUCUCUA